RNAcentral lists this ribosomal RNA (274 nucleotides) under Bacillota bacterium. RNAcentral's name for it is "partial 16S ribosomal RNA". It matches the Rfam family "Bacterial small subunit ribosomal RNA", at positions 1 to 272 of the family's 1533-position model. The record is from RNAcentral. Lineage: Bacteria; Bacillati; Bacillota.
UUUACGGAGAGUUUGAUCCUGGCUCAGGACGAACGCUGGNNNNNNNNNNCAAGUCGAGCGGGGGUAGCGAGGUAGCUUGCUACUGAGUUAUCCUAGCGGCGGACGGGUGAGUAACGCGUGGGCAACCUGCCCUAUAGACUGGGAUAACAGGUCGAAAGGCCUGCUAAUACCGGAUGAGCUCGUAGGGUCGCAUGGUUUUACGAGGAAAGGGGAGACCCGCUAUAGGAUGGGCCCGCGUCCCAUUAGCUAGUUGGUGAGCCGUUACCUCACCAAC